AGUAAAUUGGUUAAGUUAGAAAGGGCGCACGGUGGAUGCCUUGGCACUAGGAGCCGAAGAAGGACGGGACUAACACCGAUAUGCUUUGGGGAGCUGUACGUAAGCGUUGAUCCAGAGAUUUCCGAAUGGGGGAACCCACUAUCUUUAGUCGGAUAGUAUCCUUACGUGAAUACAUAGCGUGAGGAAGGCAGACCCAGGGAACUGAAACAUCUAAGUACCUGGAGGAAGAGAAAGAAAAAUCGAUUUCCUGAGUAGCGGCGAGCGAAACGGAAAGAGCCCAAACCAAGAAGCUUGCUUCUUGGGGUUGUAGGACACUCUAUAUGGAGUUACAAAAGAAAGUUAUAAAUGAAGCGGUCUGGAAAGGCCCGCCAAAGACGGUAACAGCCCGGUAGUUGAAAUGGCUUUCCCUCCAGAGUGGAUCCUGAGUACGGCGGAACACGUGAAAUUCCGUCGGAAUCCGGGAGGACCAUCUCCCAAGGCUAAAUACUCCCUAGUGACCGAUAGUGAACCAGUACCGUGAGGGAAAG
RNAcentral lists this ribosomal RNA (527 nucleotides) under Listeria monocytogenes. RNAcentral describes it as "partial 23S ribosomal RNA". It matches the Rfam family "Bacterial large subunit ribosomal RNA", at positions 1 to 513 of the family's 2925-position model. The record is from RNAcentral. Lineage: Bacteria; Bacillati; Bacillota; Bacilli; Caryophanales; Listeriaceae.